Non-coding RNA from Vicugna pacos (alpaca), 394 nucleotides. Lineage: Eukaryota; Metazoa; Chordata; Mammalia; Artiodactyla; Camelidae. The record is from RefSeq and is a predicted model, not a curated record.
GACAGCCCACAAAGUUCCACCUGCUCACAGGUUGGCUGGCUCGACCAAGGUGGUAGCCCCUGCUCUGAGCAUCCAGGCCGAAUCCACCUAUCACCAUGGCCAGAUACAGAUGUUGCCGCAGCCAAAGCCGGAGCAGAUGCCGCCCCCGGAGACGAAGAUGUCGCAGACGAAGGAGGCCAUGUUGUCGGAGGCGGCGGAGGAGAGUGUGCUGCCGCCGCUACACCAUCAUAAGGUGUAGAAGAAGGUAAACGCACAGCAGCAAGACCACCACACUCCUGCCUGAACUAUUACCAGCCUUCAAGACCCUCUUGCCACACCUUGAACAUGCCACCGUUCCGAUGAAAUGAACAGGAGCCUGCUAACGAACAACGCCGCCUGUCAAUAAAUGUUGGAA